AGUGAACGCUGGCGGCAGGCCUAACACAUGCAAGUCGAACGGCAGCACAGCAGUAGCAAUACUGUGGGUGGCGAGUGGCGGACGGGUGAGGAAUACAUCGGAAUCUGCCUUAUCGUGGGGGAUAACGUAGGGAAACUUACGCUAAUACCGCAUACGACCUACGGGUGAAAGCGGAGGACCUUCGGGCUUCGCGCGAGAAGAUGAGCCGAUGUCGGAUUAGCUAGUUGGCGGGGUAAUGGCCCACCAAGGCGACGAUCCGUAGCUGGUCUGAGAGGAUGAUCAGCCACACUGGAACUGAGACACGGUCCAGACUCCUACGGGAGGCAGCAGUGGGGAAUAUUGGACAAUGGGCGCAAGCCUGAUCCAGCCAUGCCGCGUGGGUGAAGAAGGCCUUCGGGUUGUAAAGCCCUUUUGUCCGGAAAGAAAAGCACUGGGUUAAUACCUCGGUGUUCUGACGGUACCGGAAGAAUAAGCACCGGCUAACUUCGUGCCAGCCGCCGCGGUAA
RNAcentral lists this ribosomal RNA (506 nucleotides) under uncultured bacterium. Its description in RNAcentral is "partial 16S ribosomal RNA". It matches the Rfam family "Bacterial small subunit ribosomal RNA", at positions 29 to 523 of the family's 1533-position model. The record is from RNAcentral.